CGUCGUGAGACAGUUCGGUCUCUAUCUAUCGUGGGCGUAGGAAAUUUGCGAGGCUCUGACACUAGUACGAGAGGACCGUGUUGGACUGACCACUGGUUUACCGGUUGUUCCGCCAGGAGCACUGCCGGGUAGCUAAGUCGGGAUUGGAUAAGUGCUGAAAGCAUCUAAGUACGAAGCCAGCCUCAAGAUUAGAUUUCCUUAUAAGGGUGGUUGUAGACUACGACCUUGAUAGGCUACAGGUGUAAGGGCAGUAAUGUCGAAGCCGAGUAGUACUAAUAGCCCGAAACUUUCAUUU
This 295-nucleotide ribosomal RNA is filed under the name Macellibacteroides fermentans. RNAcentral describes it as "23S rRNA. Bacterial LSU". It matches the Rfam family "Bacterial large subunit ribosomal RNA", at positions 2617 to 2925 of the family's 2925-position model. The record is from RNAcentral. Lineage: Bacteria; Pseudomonadati; Bacteroidota; Bacteroidia; Bacteroidales; Porphyromonadaceae.